Raphanus sativus (radish) is the source of this 694-nucleotide long non-coding RNA. RefSeq lists it as uncharacterized. The transcript is spliced from 2 exons. The record is from RefSeq and is a predicted model, not a curated record. Lineage: Eukaryota; Viridiplantae; Streptophyta; Magnoliopsida; Brassicales; Brassicaceae.
CAAAAUUUUCUGACCAAUAAGAUCCAGAUACAUGGAUCACACUUCUUAGCCAUUGGAUUAAUUUACAUCCAAAGGUUGAGAUUUAUGCUUUUUAUUUUUUCCUCUCUCUCUCUCCACGGCAGAUCUCAUCUCAUUCUCUUCUCUAUCUUUUUUUCGAUUCACUCUUCAUCUUCUUCAUCUUCUCCUUCUUCUCCUUCACUCUCAAAUAUCAUAUCUCUCACCUCUCACCUCUCCCAUCUCUGUCCCACCACGUCUCCUCCUCGCCUCACCACCACGUCUCCUCCUCGCCUCACCACCACUGCGUCUCAUCCUAUGCUACACCACCGCGGUCGCCUUCCCACCCCCACCACGAGAUACUCCCCCGGUCUGUGGUCGUGAGCGGAGUCUCCCGAAGUGGACCUAUGACGAAUCAGAGACUCCACCGGUGAGGAUCAGAAGAAUAAGAAUCGGUGCUUCUUUUGUUCUUAGUAGAUACAGGUGGUGAAGGAAGAUGAAGAAGAUUCAUGGACGUGAGUGAACGCGGCUGGAGUUUUCUUUUUUUUUUUAGGUUUAGUGUUUUUUUUUUUAGGGUUUUCAGGGUUUAGUGUAAACCGAAUUGGAUAAACCAUUGUGGUUUACUUUUUUUUCUGGUUUAGUUUUGUAAACCCGAAAUUUAUUUAUCAAUAAAUUUAAUUUAUUUCUAAUUAUAAAAAAA